CUCACAAGCGUAGGGUUCCUUGAGAUGUAUUUGUUCAACACUCAUGAAUAGCCAUGCGUGUUUUUUCAAUGUGACACUGCCAGACUUCCCAGACAGUAAACAUGGCUACGUUCUGAACAGAUCUAAGGUGUAGCCAUCGUGUCAAGAUCUGCUGUUGACAUGGAGAGAUUUUUGUCUACCCAUUCCCUAUUUGCCCUAGUUCUCUUUUUGUGCGGAAUUGGAGAUUACGUGCACCCUUGGACAAGUGCAUUUGCAGAUUCGUCGGUCUGUUCACCAUCGUUGAUGCUGAGACUCGAGCCCCUGGAUUUGGAGGGAAUUUUAACAGUGUGUGCUGUAUCUCUAUGGGGUCUUGUUUUAAUCUUCGUGGUGACUAUACUUCUGUAUUCACUGAUCAGACACUGGAAGGAACCCAAGGCAGGAGAUAGCAAUGAUUCAACACAUCUAGGCAACCACAGUCACUCAAGCAGACAGAAUGAAGUCUCUACAUACUACGUCUACAUUGGACCUACAGAUGCAUCGAAUACUGAGCCGAAUAUCCAACCUAACACCUGACUGAGAUGAAUCGAGAAUUAGGUUAGUAGUAUCAGAGGCCAUUUCUGCAGUCAGUGACACCGCCUUCCGCGAAUUUAAGCCUUGUACUUAUCCUUCAGUGUGAUGCCACCGCAGAAGUGGAAUCUCCUUAGUGUAGGGGUACGAUACACCCACUUUGUCAUGUGCUACAUUUAUAUGUCACUUUGGAUUGUUAGGCUUCUACCAAUUCAAUUUGUUAAAUUUAGAUUAAAAUUUGGCCAAUACAGAACUGACUUUAUAAUCCUUUCAAAAUUGUGGACAAAACUGGUACAUUUUCUUUGCUAGGGUCAUUCGUAUAGUGUAUGUUAUUUCAAGAUAAUUCUAAUAUGUUAUUUUCAGCUCAAAAUCAAAGUAAGCUCUUAGGUAUGAGCCUUGGAAUUUAAUAUGAAAUUUGUUCAAUCAUUGAAAAUUAAUUCAAAGCAGAGGUUGAAGAGAUUCAUGUUUAUAUUUUAGAUUGAAUUCAGAUCAUUGUUUAGAAGUUCAGUAAAGUUAUGUGAUUACUUUUCAGCUUAAAAUCUAAUUAUAUUGCAAGGGGUUUACCUUCUAAGUUGAUCUUCAUCAUUUUCAGCUUAUAAUUAAAUAAAACGUAAGGCCUUGCAAUUCACAUGUAAUUGAAACAUUGCCAGAGUUGUGUUUGUUCCAAGUUUUCUUCAUUGGACAAAAGAAAUUAUUGAAUGCAAUUUCAAACAAAUUUAAAUUUAAUCAUUUUAGCAGAGAAAUAGAUUAAAAUGUGAAGGGUAAAGCCUUUCAAUUAAAUUUUGCACAAAACAAAUGUUUCCCUAAUCCUUUCAAAGUAAGUUUUGAAAUGGAAAAGGCAUUUUAAGGCGAGUAUAAACCUCAAUUCUUUCUUAUUUGAAGUCAAGAGAACAUUACUUUAUAUAUUUAUGGAAUUGUUAGCAUUUUUUUAUGCUAUCAUUUUCGGCUGCAAGAGGUCGGCCUUGCAUUUUUAAUAAAAUUCUCCCACAAUAGGCCUAUGAAUUUGUACCC
Molecule: long non-coding RNA, 1557 nt
Filed under: Acanthaster planci (crown-of-thorns starfish)
Lineage: Eukaryota; Metazoa; Echinodermata; Asteroidea; Valvatida; Acanthasteridae
Description: uncharacterized LOC110973498
Source: RNAcentral